AUACAAUGAUGUGAACACCUUCUCAGCAAUUCCUUGUAUCUUUCCCAAGCUUCAUACAAUGACUCUCCUUCCUACUACACAAAUGAUGUUAUUUCUCCUCUCAGCUU
Abrus precatorius (Indian licorice) is the source of this 107-nucleotide small nucleolar RNA. Lineage: Eukaryota; Viridiplantae; Streptophyta; Magnoliopsida; Fabales; Fabaceae. The record is from RefSeq and is a predicted model, not a curated record.